Molecule: ribosomal RNA, 254 nt
Filed under: uncultured bacterium
Lineage: Bacteria
Description: partial 16S ribosomal RNA
Rfam family: Bacterial small subunit ribosomal RNA
Source: RNAcentral
GACGAAGGAUGCAAGCGUUAUCCGGAUUCAUUGGGUUUAAAGGGCGCGUAGGCGGCCACCGCAAGUCGACUGUGAAAUCUCCGGGCUUAACCCGGAAAGGUCAGCCGAUACUGCGGGGCUAGAGUGCAGAAGGGGCAACUGGAAUUCUCGGUGUAGCGGUGAAAUGCGUAGAUAUCGAGAGGAACACCUGCGGCGAAGGCGGGUUGCUGGGCUGACACUGACGCUGAGGCGCGAAAGCUAGGGGAGCGAACGGG